CCUACGGGAGGCAGCAGUGAGGAAUAUUGGUCAAUGGACGAGAGUCUGAACCAGCCAAGUAGCGUGAAGGAUGACUGCCCUAUGGGUUGUAAACUUCUUUUAUAAAGGAAUAAAACGAGGCACGUGUGCCUUUUUGCAUGUACUUUAUGAAUAAGGAUCGGCUAACUCCGUGCCAGCAGCCGCGGUAAUACGGAGGAUCCGAGCGUUAUCGGAGUUAUUGGGGUUAAAGGGAGCGUAGAUGGGUUGUUAAGUCAGUUGUGAAAGUUUGCGGCUCAACCGUAAAAUUGCAAUUGAUACUGGCAGUCUUGAGUACAGUUGAGGUAAGCGGAAUUCGGGGUGUAGCGGUGAAAUGCUUAGAUAUCACGAAGAACCCCGAUUGCGAAGGCAGCUUACUAAACUGUGACUGACAUUGAUGCUCGAAAGUGUGGGUAUCAAACAGGAUUAGAUACCCCUGUAGUC
This 459-nucleotide ribosomal RNA is filed under the name uncultured bacterium. Its description in RNAcentral is "partial 16S ribosomal RNA". It matches the Rfam family "Bacterial small subunit ribosomal RNA", at positions 338 to 795 of the family's 1533-position model. The record is from RNAcentral.